UUCAUUGGUGCCCUGGCCAUCCAAUGCUAUCUAUCCUCAGCCAUCUUCUCCCAUAAAUUGCGGGUGGAUAAGAGGAGUAUGACUUCAGGAUGAAUAUGGGGCUUAAAAGCAUGCGUCUCUGUUCUUGGGAGAAGCUUUACAUUUAUUUUUUAAAGUUUACAGUCUCUCAGAGGCCAUAGUCCAACCCAUUCUCUUCUUGUUCGAUCCAUCGACCAACAGGCAUUUAAAUUUCUGCUGAGGACCGGACACUGUGUUAGGUUCUAGGGAUGCAGUGCCUGUUCAAGAUAUAAAAAAGGAAGAAAACAAGCAUUUGUUAGAUGCCUACUACAUGCCAGGUCAAGAUUGGUUCCUACAGUCCACUGGAAUUCAGCAGCAUCUUGUUGCAGCAACUUUAUAACUGUUAUUUCUGAAAGGCUGUCCUUCUCCCCACUGUUACUUGACAUCAUUCCAGUGCACUUUUUGCUGUGCCACAGAUGGUCAUCUUCACUGCCUCAUCUCAAACCCCGAGAGGACACUCAAGCUAUUGGAAGCCUUGCUCAAAUUCUCCUGAUGUCAGGAGGGUACUAGUGAAGCACUCCAGCCAUCUAAUUGUCACCUCAGGUAACCAGCCUAUCUUCUCUUCCUAGCAAUCAUUUUCUCCAUGAAAUAUUUACUCUAAUUCUUCUAAAUUCCUCAUUACAGUAUUUAUAUGUUGUAGCCCACUCACAUUGACCAUGUAUUUCUCCAUGACCUUAGUAUGAGAAGCAUUUUUAAUUCUUCAGAAGCCAUAACAUUCUGGUUGCCAUGGAGCAAAGCUGGCAUACUGGUCUUUGAAAAGAUAAAUAUUUUUUCCAUGGAAAAUUUGAAAUCAUUAAAAGAACUUAGCAAUUUUUAAAGGAAAUCUAGCCCAUUCUCCUUCUCUGAUUCAAUUCUGGUCCAACUAGUUGUCCAUCUGCAAUGGAUAUUCAUAUUGAUGGACAAAUUCUAUGGGUUGUCCAUCUAAAUGAAAUAAACAUUCUUUAUCCACUUAGAGAAAGAUCAUUUUAACAUGCAUUUUUUACAAUAAUCUUUGGGAAAGCAUACUAUCUUUUCCAAAAGUCUAUUACAGUUUUAUUUGGGGUGUUUGGUUUUGUAUGAGCAUGCUCUUACAACAAUGACCAAUAUGGAAAUGUGUUUUUCAUGAUAAUACAUGAAAGGCCCAGAUCAAAUUGCUUACCAUCUCAGAGAGAAGGGAUGGAAGAAAGGGAAGAAGGGAGAUGGCUUGGAUAUUAUAAUUUUGAAAAAUGUGUGUUGAAAAUUAUUAUUACAUAUAAUUAGGAAAAUAAAAUAUCUUUGAAUUAAAAAAAAACCUUUGCAAAUCUUUCCUAUUUUUUUAAUUAUUUGUUGCCCUCUUUCUAAUUUCCACCUUUAAAUGCGGUGGAGAUGAAUUUGCUUGGUUGGAUCUCUUGAAAAUUUUUAUUUAAAUUAGUCUUAUCCCUCCCUACCGCUUAUGUCUGCUUUAUGAGAUGGAACCACCCAUAAUCAUCCAUUGAAUUUCUUUAUAAUGUUUGACAAAUGUGAUUAUAUUCUAAAUUGGCUUUGCCCUUGACUUCCAUCUUGUUGUGGAAAUGGGUUUUCUGCAAUUAAACUUUUGUCUAUAUUGUUAUAAUCUGUUUAUAUUUUUACCAUUUUUAUUACUAAUUAAUUGCUUAUUUGUUUUUUAAUCCUUACUUUCUGUCUUGGAAUCAAUAUUAAAUAUCACUUCCAAGACAGAAGAGAGGUAAGGGCUACAACAGUUGGAAUUAAAUGACUUGCCAAGGGUCACAUAGCUAAGAAGUACCUGAAGCCAGAUUUGAACACAAGAGGACUUGGAGUUUUAAACUCCAUUACUUAUAGCUUAAAAAGAUUUUGAUUUGUAGCCACCUAAUUUCCCCAAUCAACAUUUUUAAACUAUAAAUAACGGAGUUUACCAUUUCAUUUGUGAUAUUUGUGAAUUAUUUUUCUUGUGUAGUUGAAUGUUUUUUUGUGAAUGGUUACUAUGUUUAAAAAGAGGGAGAAAGAGAAGAGAAAUGGUCUUUCACCCAGACACUCCCUUUGUACAACACCCAGUCUGGGGAUACCUUUGCCCCUUAGGCCUCCUGGCACAACCUCCUUUUCCCUAUGUCCUAUUGAGAGACUCAUGUAAAGAUUGAACUCUACAAGGGAAAUGGCAGAGAUACCUCACAAAUACUAGUCCCCAAAAGUAGGUUUAGAUCAACAUCUCACACCCUAUACUAAGAUAAAUUCAAAAUGGGUAGAUGACAAAUAUAAGGAGUGAAAUCACAAAUGAAUUAGAACACAGAAUAGUAUACCUGUCAGAUCUAUGAGAAAGGAAGGAAUUCGAGACCAAGAAAGAGAUAGAGAACAUUACAAGAUGUAAAAUGAAUAAUUUUUAUUAUAUUAAAUUUAAAAGAUUUUGUACAAACAAAAUCAAUGCAAUCAGAAGGGAAGCAACAAAGUGGGGGGAAAUUUUAUAACAAAAUUCUCUGACAAAGGUCUAAUUUCCCAAAUAUAUAAGGAACUAAGUCAAAUUAACAAUAAAUCAAGCCAUUCCCCAAUUGGCAAAUGGUCAAGGGAUAUUAAUAAGUAGUUUUCAGAUGAAGAAAUCAAAACUAUCAAUAAUCACAUGAAAAAGUGUUCUAAAACCCUCCUAAUUAGAGACAUGCAAAUCAAAACAACUCUGAGGUACCACCUCACACCUAGCAGAUUGGCCAAUAUGACAGUAAAGGAAAAUAAUAAAUGUUGGAGGGGAUGUGGCAAAAUUGGGACACUGAUGCAUUGCUGGUAGAGUUGUGAACUGAUUCAACCAUUCUAUAAGGCAAUUCAGAAUUGUGCCCAAAGGGCUUUAAAAGAUUGCAUGUCCUUUGAUCCAGCCAUACCACUGCUAGGUUUGUACCUCCCAAAGAGAUUUUUUUUUAAUGUUUAUACAAAAAUAUUUAUAGCAGUGUUUUUUGUGUUGGCAAAAAAAUUAGAAAAUGAGGGGGUGUCCCUAAACUGGGGAAUGGUGGUAUAUGUUGGAAUACUAUUGUGCUAUAAGGAAUGAUGAAUUGCUUGAUUUCUAUAUGAACUAGAAAGACCUCCAUGAACUGAUGAUGAGCAGAAAUGAGCAGAAGCAGAAGAACAUUGAACACAGAAACUGAAACAUUGUGGGAUGAUCAAAUGUAAUAAUAGAUUCUGCUACUAAUAGCAAUGCAAUGAUCAAGAAUGAUCCUGUGGAACCUAUGAAAAAAUGUUGUCCACAUCUAGAGAAAGAACUGAGGGAGCAGAAAUGCAGAAGGAAAACAUAUGAUUUAUCACUUGGUUAUAUGGGUAUAUGACUCGGGGUUGUGGUUUUAAAAGGUUAUUCUAUUACAGAUAUGAAUAAUAUGGAAAUAGGUUUUGAGUAAAAAGACAUGGAGUUGCUUGUCAGCUCCUGGAGGGGGGAGGGAAGAGGAAAAGGAAAGAAAAUUAAUCAUGUAACCACAGAAAAAUAUUCUUUCAAAAAUUAAAUAAUGUGAAAAAAAAAACAAAUAGUAGUCCCCUCUACAAAGAAACACAGAACCCUAGAAUUGGAAGGAGCCAUCUAAUUUAACCUGCUUUAAUUUAAUUUAAUUUAAUUUAACUUGAUUAAUUUAAUCAGAAUGGAAACACCCACUUUAAUAUCCCAUCAGUUGACCAACAGUCUCUGCUCAAAAACCUCCAAAGGGGCAAUUUGGAAUUAUGCCCAAAGGGCUAUAAAACAGUGCAUACUCUUUGAUCCAGGGACACCAUUACUAAGUCUAUAUCCCAAAGAGAUUUUUUUUAAUGAGAAAGAACCUGUCUGUAUAAAAUAUUUAUAGCUACUCUUUAAGUGGUGACAAAGAAUUGGAAACUAAAGGGAUGCCCAUCAAUCCGGGAUGGGUGAACAAAUAGUGGCAUAUGAUAGUGAUGGAAUUCUAUUGUGCAGUAAGGAAUGACAAACAGGAUGAUUUCAGAAAGAACUGGAUAGACCUUCAUGAACUGAUGCAGAGUGAAACAGCAGAACCAGGAGAAUAUUAUACAAAACAAUUGCAAUAUUGUGGAACAAUGAAAUAUGAUAGACUUUGCUAAUCUCAGCAAUACAAUGAUCCAGGACAAUGUUAAAGAAUGCUAUCCAUCUCCAGAGAAAAAACUGGUAGAGUAAGGAUGCAGAUGAAGCACAUGAUUUUUCACUCAUUUAUUUGGGUUUAUGUUUUGGGGUUUUGGUUUUAUAAAAUUAUUUACUUACAAAAAUGAAUAAUAUGGAAAUAGGUUUUGCAUGAUAAUGCAUGUAUGACUCUGAUUCAAAGUUUGCUUGCCAGUUUAGGGAGGGGAAGGGAAGAAGGGAAGAAGACCAUUUGUAUCAUAUAACUUCAGAAAACUCAUGUGGAAAUGUGCUAUUAAAAUCAAAGACCUCCAGUAAUGCAGUACUCUACCAUUUGAGACAGACCAUUCCAUAUAGGAAAGGGAGCUAAGUGGGAAGAACAGUGGAUAGAGAGCUAGGCCUGGAGUGAGGAAGACAUGAAUUCAAAUCUGGCCUUAGAUAUUUGUGUGUGUGACCCUGGGCAAGUCAAUUAAUCCUGUUUAUCUUAGUUUCUUCAUCUGUAAAAUGAGUUGGAGAAGAAAAUGGCAAACCGUUCUAUUGCCUCUGCCAAGAAAACUUCAAAUGGGGUCACAAAGAGACAGACCUAACUGAAAAGACUGAAGAACAACAAUAAUUACAUUUUGAGGAAGUUUUUUUUUUCCUUACACAGAAAUAACUAUCUGUCUAUGCAACUUCUUCCCAUGGUUCUUAGUUCUGCUCUGUGGGGCCCAAGAGAAUAGGUUUUAGGCUUCUUUCACAUAUAGCUUUCAGAUACUCAAAAGAUAGCUAUCAUGUUUCCAAUUAAAACUUUUCUUCCCUAGAUCCAGAGUCACCUAGCUGCCCCUGUUAAUUUAUUAUUAUUUUUAAAUCCAUACCUUCCACAUUAGAAUCAAUGUGUAUUGAUAAAGGCUAUACAAUGGGGGUUAAGUGACUUGCCCAGGGUCACACAGCUAGGAAGCGUUUGAGGCCAAAUUUGAAUCCAGGACCUCUUGUCUCCAGGCUGGUGCUUUAUCUCCUGAGCACCUAGCUGAUUCCUGUUAAUUCAUUUUUUAAUAAACUCAAGCUUGUGAAUAGGAAUAGACAUAGAGAUGCAAGGGACUUCAUAGGCCAUCUAAUCUGACCCCCUCGUUUUACAGAUGAGGAAACUGAGGCCCAAUGGGGUUAAGCAAUUUUCUCAAGAUAUCACUAGUGGACAAUGGUAGAGCUAAGAUUCAAAACCAGAUCUUCUGAUUACAAAUCCAGCAGUCUUUUUACUUUAUGCAUUGCUUUAGUGUCAUUUAAUUCUGGCUGCUUUUUAGUUGGCAUAGAAUUGGCACCAGGUUAGAAAUAUCUUUAGUUAUUUCACAGAAUGCUAUCUAUUAUAGUCUGCCAAACCACAAAACAUGCCUGGAAUAUCAUGUUCAGUUUUAAGUGCUGUAUUUUUUUAAAAAGACUGACAAAUUGGAAUAGGGUUUGUUAUUUUCUUUCCAGAGAAAGGAAGGCCAAAUUAGUGAGAGGAGUAGAAGCUUGGAUGCCACACAAAAAUCAGGAGGGAGAGAGAGGGAGGAGGGAGGGAGGGAGAGAAUAAAGGAGGGAGGG
Non-coding RNA from Monodelphis domestica (gray short-tailed opossum), 5635 nucleotides. The record is from RefSeq and is a predicted model, not a curated record. Lineage: Eukaryota; Metazoa; Chordata; Mammalia; Didelphimorphia; Didelphidae.